RNAcentral lists this long non-coding RNA (925 nucleotides) under Ananas comosus (pineapple). Its description in RNAcentral is "long non-coding RNA (ACOM_LNC001003)". The record is from RNAcentral. Lineage: Eukaryota; Viridiplantae; Streptophyta; Magnoliopsida; Poales; Bromeliaceae.
CCUUAAUUUUUUUUUUAAUAGUACUGUUAAAAGAAGUGUUAAAAUUAACAAAAUUGCCAUGUCAGCGCUUACUUGGCUUACUUGGCUUGGCUUUUUUUUUUUAUUUGUAAACUAGUAUUUGACCCGUGCGAUGCACGGAUAAUAUAAUAAUAUAAAAUAACAAAAGUUAUUAUGUAAUGAUAAAAAAAAUAUUCUAAUUAAUAUUAUAUUUUUUUAACAAAUAAAGAAAUAUACUAUCAAUCUUAAUUAUAGUACAUAUUAAAGUACAAAAGGUAGAGAAAAAAAAUUAUGGACCAAAGUAAAUACUCAAGUAAAAAGCAAAAUUCAACCCUAGUCUAUUAUCUAUGAAUUGGUGUGUAAAACAAUUUACAAUUACAUAUUGAUGUGCAAAACAAAAUGAUAACUAAAAUUGAUAUGAAAAAUUAUAAAUGACAUUAAUAUUUAAGCAUAUAAUGAGAUCAACUAAACUUUCAUAUUUGACACAAAUUAGAGUAAGCACACAUAUAUGAGAGACAUACAAACUUUUAAGAUUCAAAAAUAUAUAGAUGUUGGUCUUCAAGAAAAUAUAAAGAAAAAAAAAACUUUGUUGCAUGAAGAUGGAAAGUACCUGCUCCAAUAACAAUAUAGAUAAAUUGUUAGAUAAAUGAAAUGAUAAAUAUCAUAAUAUUAGUGAAUUUUUUCAAAAAAAUAUCUAAAUUUAUUUUUUUUAAAAAAAUGACAGAGUUGAAUUGUUGAAAAAUUGUAAAUUUUGAAAUAACAUGAAGAAAAAUAAACUGCUCACCUAUUUUAAGUUCUGAAACACUUUUUUAAAAACCACAUUGCUUGUGGUUGUGAAUAACUGUAAUAUACCGAAAAUUCGGAAAAUAAAUAUCGAACUUUAGUCAAAUUGACCAAAGUGAGAGGAUGGUACACUUCGGAAAGUCCG